GUGAUUGUGUGAGUGCUUCAGUUUUAGAAGUCAGUAAACAAUUGUGGUUUGUAAGUCAUUUUGGGGACAGAAAUAUCAGCUGAGUGAGAUUAGACGACCAGCAGUCUCAAUGAUGUUAUUUCUGGGUCAUGGUCCCUUGCCCUCACCUCUUCCGGUCUGCCACCAUCAUUUUUGAAUCAGUGAUUAUAUGACUACUGCCUGCAUAAUAUCUUCUAUUUCCUUGAUCAUUUGCCCUUUUUUCUAUCAAUUAUAUGGGGUUUGCCACCAAGGUGCCCCACAUCUUUA
Long non-coding RNA from Polypterus senegalus (gray bichir), 285 nucleotides. RefSeq lists it as uncharacterized. The transcript is spliced from 2 exons. The record is from RefSeq and is a predicted model, not a curated record. NCBI's taxonomy places the organism in Eukaryota, Metazoa, Chordata, Cladistia, Polypteriformes, Polypteridae.